UUACAGUGUAGCCAAGUGGUAAGGCAUACGGUUUUGGUCCGUAUAUACGUGGGUUCGAUUCCUUCCACUGUAAU
RNAcentral lists this transfer RNA (74 nucleotides) under compost metagenome. Its description in RNAcentral is "tRNA-Gln". It matches the Rfam family "tRNA". From Rfam's summary of the family: Transfer RNA (tRNA) molecules are approximately 80 nucleotides in length. Their secondary structure includes four short double-helical elements and three loops (D, anti-codon, and T loops). Further hydrogen bonds mediate the characteristic L-shaped molecular structure. tRNAs have two regions of fundamental functional importance: the anti-codon, which is responsible for specific mRNA codon recognition, and the 3' end, to which the tRNAs corresponding amino acid is attached (by aminoacyl-tRNA synthetases). tRNAs cope with the degeneracy of the genetic code in two manners: having more than one tRNA (with a specific anti-codon) for a particular amino acid; and 'wobble' base-pairing, i.e. permitting non-standard base-pairing at the 3rd anti-codon position. The record is from RNAcentral.